This 446-nucleotide ribosomal RNA is filed under the name Sphingobium yanoikuyae. RNAcentral's name for it is "bacterial SSU rRNA". It matches the Rfam family "Bacterial small subunit ribosomal RNA", at positions 65 to 557 of the family's 1533-position model. Lineage: Bacteria; Pseudomonadati; Pseudomonadota; Alphaproteobacteria; Sphingomonadales; Sphingobiaceae. The record is from RNAcentral.
AACGAGAUCUUCGGAUCUAGUGGCGCACGGGUGCGUAACGCGUGGGAAUCUGCCCUUGGGUUCGGAAUAACUUCUGGAAACGGAAGCUAAUACCGGAUGAUGACGUAAGUCCAAAGAUUUAUCGCCCAAGGAUGAGCCCGCGUAGGAUUAGCUAGUUGGUGGGGUAAAGGCCCACCAAGGCGACGAUCCUUAGCUGGUCUGAGAGGAUGAUCAGCCACACUGGGACUGAGACACGGCCCAGACUCCUACGGGAGGCAGCAGUAGGGAAUAUUGGACAAUGGGGGAAACCCUGAUCCAGCAAUGCCGCGUGAGUGAUGAAGGCCUUAGGGUUGUAAAGCUCUUUUACCCGGGAUGAUAAUGACAGUACCGGGAGAAUAAGCUCCGGCUAACUCCGUGCCAGCAGCCGCGGUAAUACGGAGGGAGCUAGCGUUGUUCGGAAUUACUGG